Molecule: transfer RNA, 66 nt
Filed under: Teslasena femoralis
Lineage: Eukaryota; Metazoa; Arthropoda; Insecta; Coleoptera; Elateridae
Description: tRNA-Arg
Source: RNAcentral
AAAUAAGAAGCUAAAUAAGCAUUUAGUUUCGACCUAAAAGAUUGGUAAUAAAAUUACCCUUAUUUA